Molecule: small RNA, 907 nt
Filed under: uncultured Gemmatimonas sp.
Lineage: Bacteria; Pseudomonadati; Gemmatimonadota; Gemmatimonadia; Gemmatimonadales; Gemmatimonadaceae
Description: bacterial SSU rRNA
Rfam family: Bacterial small subunit ribosomal RNA (bases 1-474)
Source: RNAcentral
GUCGUGAGAUGUUGGGUUAAGUCCCGCAACGAGCGCAACCCUCGUCCCUAGUUACCAGCGGGUUAUGCCGGGCACUCUAGGGAGACUGCCGGUGUCAAACCGGAGGAAGGUGGGGAUGACGUCAAGUCAUCAUGGCCCUUUACGUCCAGGGCGACACACGUGCUACAAUGGCCGGUACAGAGCGUCGCCAACCCGCGAGGGUGCGCCAAUCGCCAAAAGCCGGUCUAAGUUCGGAUUGCAGUCUGCAACUCGACUGCAUGAAGCCGGAAUCGCUAGUAAUCGUGGAUCAGCCACGCCACGGUGAAUACGUUCCCGGGCCUUGUACACACCGCCCGUCACGCCAUGGAAGCUGGGGGGACCUGAAGCCGGUGGGCUAACUCGCAAGAGAGGCAGCCGUCAAAGGUCAAUUCAGUGACUGGGGCGAAGUCGUAACAAGGUAGCCGUAGGGGAACCUGCGGCUGGAUCACCUCCUUUCUGGAGUGACGAGUACGCUCGGUGCACCCCCAACACGGGAACCCGAGACGAAAGUCCUCAGAAGUCGCCCGCACUCCGUCGCUUUCUAGCUCGCAUCACUUUCUUUUGGCGGGUCCCACUGGGAUCCGCCUGGCGGGCCCCGGCUUGCGCCCUGCGCGGUGGGGUCCGCCCUGCUCUUUGACAAUCGACGAAUGGAUGGUUUGCCUGUUGGCUGACGGGGGCUCGCUUGCGAGCUCGCGGCGGUGAGCAGGCAGGGUGUGAGGAAUCAACACCGGUCGUCCUGAUCCGAUCGCAGGAUCGGGAACGACAUUGAGAUUUGAGAUCAAACGCAAUAAGGCACACGGUGGAUGCCUUGGCAUCGAGAGGCGAUGAAGGGCGUGAUAAGCUGCGAUAAGCCUGGGGGAGCUGCACAUGAGCCGUGAUCCCAGGAUGC